This is a long non-coding RNA of Oreochromis aureus, 581 nucleotides long. RefSeq lists it as uncharacterized. NCBI's taxonomy places the organism in Eukaryota, Metazoa, Chordata, Actinopteri, Cichliformes, Cichlidae. The record is from RefSeq and is a predicted model, not a curated record. The transcript has 2 exons.
AUGCAGCUGCAGUCUGCUCAGCAGUGAGAACUGAAGACGUCAGUCAAAGAGAAGGAAAAACAGUCAGAGCUGAGAGAGUUUCUACCAGAGCCAAAUGUCAUCGACUCCUCACUGAAGUCGUCCACCAGUCCAACCACUGGAAUCCAGCUGCUGCUCUCUAACUGGUCCACACAGCAGCUCAGACCUGACACAUUCACUGUAAACACACUGGUUUAUAUUCUGUUUGUUCUCCUCAUGAAGGAAACUUCACACAACCACUGAGGGCAGAAAGUUCAAGUGGAGAGUUUUUGUUAUUAUUUUAUUUUAUAAAGAAGCAGAAGAAGAAUAGUACCAUAAUUUUUUUAUUUAUCUUUCAUACUUAAAAGAAAAUUCUUCACCAGGCCUUUCAGAAUAAAAGCAUGAUCAAGACAUAAUUUAUACAUAAACAAUAAUAAAUGGUAUGUAACUAAAAUGUAGAUGUAAUCCAUGUUUUCAUGUCUUCAGUAACUUUGCUGUUAUUUAUGUUAUUUCUAAGUGUGCUGUCGUCUCCACAGCAGUGAUCUGGUUUCUCUGCAGGUUCAAUAAACUUUGGUUUCACUUGA